This 109-nucleotide non-coding RNA is filed under the name Hymenobacter gelipurpurascens. RNAcentral's name for it is "TPP sequence". It matches the Rfam family "TPP riboswitch aptamer (THI element)". From Rfam's summary of the family: Vitamin B(1) in its active form thiamin pyrophosphate (TPP) is an essential coenzyme that is synthesised by coupling of pyrimidine and thiazole moieties in bacteria. The previously detected thiamin-regulatory element, thi box was extended, resulting in a new, highly conserved RNA secondary structure, the THI element, which is widely distributed in eubacteria and also occurs in some archaea. Analysis of operon structures identified a large number of new candidate thiamin-regulated genes, mostly transporters, in various prokaryotic organisms. Lineage: Bacteria; Pseudomonadati; Bacteroidota; Cytophagia; Cytophagales; Hymenobacteraceae. The record is from RNAcentral.
CAGAAGUUUUAGGGGUGCCUCCAGGCCAGCAAUGGCCCCGGCGGCUGAGAUCAUACCCAUUGAACCUGCCCGGGUAAUGCCGGCGAAGGGAACAAACGAUCCGCGAGCG